This 581-nucleotide long non-coding RNA is filed under the name Gossypium raimondii (Peruvian cotton). Its description in RNAcentral is "long non-coding RNA (GRAI_LNC006872)". Lineage: Eukaryota; Viridiplantae; Streptophyta; Magnoliopsida; Malvales; Malvaceae. The record is from RNAcentral.
UUGUUUCUAUCCUUUAUGAAAAGUUAAGCCUUGAACUGUGGUUCAGUUAUCUACUGGCCCAAGGAUGGAUCCAUUGAUGGGAUGCUACUAUCCAUUGAUGGUUAGUAGCUCUUUUCUCCUCUUUUGCAAUAGAGUUUUUAUUUAUUUAUUUAUCGAGGAGGAUGAGAUUGUUGUGAAACUACAUGACUAAUUAGUUUGGUCGAUGUUAUCUUUUUCUUUUCUCUCCUUUCUUUGUACUUUUUUUCAUCCUAUUUUCUUAAACUUUUCCCUGUUUUCUAUUUUCGGUGUAAUUUCUUGUAUUUGUUCUUUUUAUUUGUUUCUGUUUUAUUUUGUCACUAAAUUUGACUCUUUCGUUGCGACAAUAGGGAUAUAGUUGAUCCACGGAUUCAACGCUCUCACACGCGAGUUUUUUGCAUGUACCUGUCUGUAAGUCUUGUUUCCAAACAUUUGUUGUUGAUUUGGUUUGAGUUCUGAGUUGGGUUUUACGUGAUCUUGAGCUCUAUGUUUGGGGUUCUUUUGGUCCCCAUUUUUGAUCGCCUUCAGGCAAUGUACGUAAUAGCUAUAUACUAGUAGUAUUGGCC